AGAGUUGCAUAAAAUGGUGGAGGACUUGAAGUGCAAGUAUGAUGAGAUUGAGUUGAUACGAGCAGAUCAAGAAAAGCAGAUCAUUAAACUGUCUGGAGACUGUUAUGAACAAACUAAGGAGGUAGAAUGCAUUCGGGAAGCAAAUCGGAAAUUGGAGACUGAACUGGGGAAAUUGAAUGGAGAACUUUUAGAAAAUAAGAUCAGGGAGGAAAGUUUGAAUUGUGAACUGCAAAAAAGAAGAAAUGAGGUAGAAUGGUGGGAGUCUCAGGCUGCUGCACUUUUUGGCGAACUGCAGACAUCUGCUGUCCAACAAGCACUGUAUGAAGGAAAGGUUCAUGAGCUCAUUGAAACAUGUGAGAGCCUUGAAGGCAGAAAUUGUUUGAAAGCUAGCGAGAUUGACCAGAUGAAAGAAAGAGUAGGCACCGUGGAACAUAAGAAUGAAGAACUAAGGUCUCAGAUGACUUCAUAUGUCCCAGCUUUCAUUUCUUUGAUGGAUUGUAUAGCAUCUCUGGAAAAUCAUACUCUCUCACAUGCAAAACUUCAUGAAAUUCACAAGAAGGAAGCCAAGGAUGCCCCCUUUGCGGUGGAUGCUGAAAGCUGUCAACAGAUUAGCGAUGAUCAAAUUAGCGUGGGGCCAGGUGGACUUUUGGACUUGCAGGGUUUGCAAAUGAGGAUUAUAGCUAUUGAAGAAGCUGUAAAAGAAAGGGAGAGACUAGUUAUUCUGGAAAACUCUAAUGCUAAUUCCAAACUUGCUGAUGCAAUUAGACAGAUUGAAGAGAUGAAAUCCGAAAGCAGCUUACAUGGAGAAGCUGUUGAAGCAGGCAAGCAUGGGAAUCAAAAUCCAGAUGACAAGGAACUGGGAUCUGAUCCUGAUAAUAAUCUCAGGCUUCAGAAGCGAACACAUGAAAACGCUGAAGAGGGGAAUGGAGUGAUGACGAAAGACAUAAUGCUUGAUCAGAUAUCUGAGUGUUCAUCAUAUGGGAUCAGCAGAAGGGAGACUGUAGAGGCUGAUGAUCAGAUGCUUGAAAUAUGGGAAACUACUACCGACCAGGAUGCCAGCAUUGACCUGACUGUUGGAAAGGCCCGGAAGGCUACUGCUACUCUGACUGAGAAGAAGCGCAACAAGGAUCAUCCUUCUGUGGAAUCAAUGGUUGAGAAGGAUGUUAGUGUGGACAAGUUAGAGAUCUCAAAGAGAUUAUCAGGGUCUCGCCAAGAAGUGAAUGAGAGGAAAAUUCUAGAAAGACUUGAUUCUGAUGCACAAAAGUUAACUAAUCUUCAAAUAACUGUGCAAGACUUGAAGAGGAAGGUGGAGAUCACAGAGAAGAACAAGGGAAAAGGUAUUGAAUAUGAUAACGUGAAGGAGCAGUUGGAAGAGUCUGAGGAGGCCAUUAUUAAAUUGUUUGAUGUGAAUCGCAAAUUAAUGAAGAGCAUUGAAGAUGAAUCAUUUUCGGUUGAUGAGAAAUCUGUGUUAGCAUUGGAUGAGAAUGGAAGUGUCAGAAAGAGAAGAAUUUCAGAACAGGCCAGAAGAGGGUCUGAAAAAAUUGGACGGUUGCAGUUGGAGGUGCAAAAACUGCAAUUUCUUUUGCUGAAACUUGAUGAUGCAAAUAAAAGCAGAGGAAAAACCAAAAUCAUAGAACGAAAAACAAGAGUUCUUCUGCGUGAUUAUCUGUAUGGUGGGACAAGAACUAGCCAGAAGAGAAAGAAAGGGCAUUUCUGUGCAUGUAUGCAACCUCCAACCAAGGGGGAUUGACAGAAAUUACAUUCUAUCGGCAUAAAAUUGGUGUAGUUAAGACAUUUAGUUGCUUUGUGCAUAAAUUUUAGAAAUCUUCCGUAGACUUAAAUGUUACUUUCUUGUUUGGUUAAGAGAGGAUCGAGCAUUCUUUUAAGUUUAGAGAUCCUGUUGUACACGACGGGCUGUGUUUCAUCAAAAGAAGCUACUUUAACAUUGCUUCUUUCGCUCCCUUUUUUUUUUCAUUGGUUUUAUUUUCAUAAUCGCAAACAUCAGAUGUCUUUUUGAACAAUUAUUAUUAUUAAAGAGUACAAGCUUUUUAGAAAAAUAGAACAAUAUAAGCGUUUGAGGC
RNAcentral lists this unclassified non-coding RNA (2081 nucleotides) under Hevea brasiliensis (rubber tree). The record is from RNAcentral. Lineage: Eukaryota; Viridiplantae; Streptophyta; Magnoliopsida; Malpighiales; Euphorbiaceae.